AUUGAACGCUGGCGGCAGGCCUAACACAUGCAAGUCGAGCGGCAGCGGGAAAGUAGCUUGCUACUUUUGCCGGCGAGCGGCGGACGGGUGAGUAAUGCCUGGGGAUCUGCCCAGUCGAGGGGGAUAACAGUUGGAAACGACUGCUAAUACCGCAUACGCCCUACGGGGGAAAGGAGGGGGACCUUCGGGCCUUUCGCGAUUGGAUGAACCCAGGUGGGAUUAGCUAGUUGGUGGGGUAAUGGCUCACCAAGGCGACGAUCCCUAGCUGGUCUGAGAGGAUGAUCAGCCACACUGGGGCUGAGACACGGCCCAGACUCCUACGGGAGGCAGCAGUGGGGAAUUUUGGACAAUGGGCGCAAGCCUGAUCCAGCAAUGCCGCGUGCAGGAAGAAGGCCUUCGGGUGUAAACUGCUUUGUACGGAACGAAAAGGUCUGGGUUAAUACCCUGGCUCAUGACGGUACCGUAAGAAUAAGCACCGGCUAACUACGU
RNAcentral lists this ribosomal RNA (489 nucleotides) under uncultured bacterium. RNAcentral's name for it is "bacterial SSU rRNA". It matches the Rfam family "Bacterial small subunit ribosomal RNA", at positions 30 to 506 of the family's 1533-position model. The record is from RNAcentral.